Dermacentor andersoni is the source of this 716-nucleotide long non-coding RNA. RefSeq lists it as uncharacterized. NCBI's taxonomy places the organism in Eukaryota, Metazoa, Arthropoda, Arachnida, Ixodida, Ixodidae. The record is from RefSeq and is a predicted model, not a curated record.
CGCUUUUGUGUAUUUUUUUCUUUCCAGCGCGCGCCGACCUUCAUUGUUGGGCCUGCUCAACGAAACGGCAGGCGGACUGACGGAGUGCAGGCGGACUGACGGAGUGCGGCGUAAUAGUAUGUGUAGCGCCGAGAACUUAAUUGCGAUGCCAUGCUGCUUCGCCUUCGGUUGCUGCAACAGACACAGCGAGGGCAAAAAGCUUUUUGCUUUGCCGUCCGGCGGGCGCAACGCAAGAAGUGUGGAUUCGCAGGAUCGGGCGGGCUGACUUCGAGGAAGUGGCAAAGAACGCACGGCUUAGUGAAUUUCGUCUUGCGGUGAAAUGCACGCAUCUGCAGCUGGCCUGUGACAUAAAAGAGACUUUAUUCAGGGUGUGUUUUGAGCUCCACCAGAAGUUAGCACAUUCUCGACGCUUUUGCAAGGCUCAAUAUGACUUACGAUGCAGUCUUUUAGCUUCGAAUGUACGCCCGCAUGUAUUAACGUUUUUAACGUCCCGAAGCGACCAAAGCUAGGAUGCAGGUUGUAGUGGAUGGCUCCGGAUAACUUUAUCUAGCUCGCCUGGGGAUGUUUAACAUGCACUUUGAUCGUAGAGUCGUACGUGGGCCGGAAAUUCCUCGUUGGCGUUUGAUAAUACUCGCGCGGGCGCGCUAGCGCUGCUUUAGAAGUUGGCGCCUCGGCGCGAUUGUAUUUCUUCAAUAAAUUUUAUUUACUAGUUGUAA